Molecule: transfer RNA, 85 nt
Filed under: Arcobacter sp. CECT 8985
Lineage: Bacteria; Pseudomonadati; Campylobacterota; Epsilonproteobacteria; Campylobacterales; Arcobacteraceae
Description: tRNA-Leu
Rfam family: tRNA
About the family: Transfer RNA (tRNA) molecules are approximately 80 nucleotides in length. Their secondary structure includes four short double-helical elements and three loops (D, anti-codon, and T loops). Further hydrogen bonds mediate the characteristic L-shaped molecular structure. tRNAs have two regions of fundamental functional importance: the anti-codon, which is responsible for specific mRNA codon recognition, and the 3' end, to which the tRNAs corresponding amino acid is attached (by aminoacyl-tRNA synthetases). tRNAs cope with the degeneracy of the genetic code in two manners: having more than one tRNA (with a specific anti-codon) for a particular amino acid; and 'wobble' base-pairing, i.e. permitting non-standard base-pairing at the 3rd anti-codon position.
Source: RNAcentral
GCCCGUGUGGUGAAACUGGUAAACACGUUGGAUUCAAAAUCCAAUGACCUAGGUCUUGUCGGUUCGAGUCCGACCACGGGUACCA